UUUUUCAGUGUAUCGGCUUAGUCUUUAACUUUCCCAUUUAUUUUUAUAUUUGUUUGUGCUGGGGGCAGGAGGGGUGGAGGAGUGGGAAGCCAAGAAGUCACAGGAGCAGCAGCCACAGAGGAGCAGGCUCAGGCUUUCUGAUGUCUAGCUUGGUCCAGGGACCAAACUUCAAAGAUUUACAUCUACAGACAGGUACAUUAUCUUCGAUGCAGUUUCCCCAAAUCUUAUUCAUUUUUAUCAUUUGUCCAUGCGUGUUUAUAUGAGGACCCCUGUGCAGGCCUGUGCCUCAGUGGGGAUAUGGAGGUGAGAGGACCAUUCUGUGAGGAUGUGGAGGUGAGAGGACCAUUCUGUGGAGGUGUGAAGGUGAGAGGACCAUUCUGUGGAGGUGUGGAGGUGAGAGGGCCAUUCUGUGGCAUCUGAUCUCUCCCAUCACUUUUAUGUGAAUCUGGGGAAUCAAACUCAGUUCUCCAGGUUUGCCUGGGAAGCACUCUUGUGCACUGAGCCACCUCUC
This 511-nucleotide long non-coding RNA is filed under the name Rattus norvegicus (Norway rat). Its description in RNAcentral is "long non-coding RNA NONRATT003671". The record is from RNAcentral. Lineage: Eukaryota; Metazoa; Chordata; Mammalia; Rodentia; Muridae.